This 779-nucleotide ribosomal RNA is filed under the name Streptomyces matensis. RNAcentral's name for it is "bacterial SSU rRNA". It matches the Rfam family "Bacterial small subunit ribosomal RNA", at positions 57 to 851 of the family's 1533-position model. The record is from RNAcentral. Lineage: Bacteria; Bacillati; Actinomycetota; Actinomycetes; Kitasatosporales; Streptomycetaceae.
GCAGUCGAACGAUGAACCACUUCGGUGGGGAUUAGUGGCGAACGGGUGAGUAACACGUGGGCAAUCUGCCCUGCACUCUGGGACAAGCCCUGGAAACGGGGUCUAAUACCGGAUACUGACCUUCACGGGCAUCUGUGAGGGUCGAAAGCUCCGGCGGUGCAGGAUGAGCCCGCGGCCUAUCAGCUAGUUGGUGAGGUAAUGGCUCACCAAGGCGACGACGGGUAGCCGGCCUGAGAGGGCGACCGGCCACACUGGGACUGAGACACGGCCCAGACUCCUACGGGAGGCAGCAGUGGGGAAUAUUGCACAAUGGGCGAAAGCCUGAUGCAGCGACGCCGCGUGAGGGAUGACGGCCUUCGGGUUGUAAACCUCUUUCAGCAGGGAAGAAGCGAAAGUGACGGUACCUGCAGAAGAAGCGCCGGCUAACUACGUGCCAGCAGCCGCGGUAAUACGUAGGGCGCGAGCGUUGUCCGGAAUUAUUGGGCGUAAAGAGCUCGUAGGCGGCUUGUCACGUCGGUUGUGAAAGCCCGGGGCUUAACCCCGGGUCUGCAGUCGAUACGGGCAGGCUAGAGUUCGGUAGGGGAGAUCGGAAUUCCUGGUGUAGCGGUGAAAUGCGCAGAUAUCAGGAGGAACACCGGUGGCGAAGGCGGAUCUCUGGGCCGAUACUGACGCUGAGGAGCGAAAGCGUGGGGAGCGAACAGGAUUAGAUACCCUGGUAGUCCACGCCGUAAACGGUGGGCACUAGGUGUGGGCGACAUUCCACGUCGUCCGUGCCGCAG